CCUAGAAAUGUACCAAACAGAAGUAAGCAAAUGUAAACCACUGAGGGAAGAAUUCACUACCACGGCACAAAGCAAAGCACAAAGCUUUGUAAAUCUAUUCUCUUAAGGUUCUUCAAGCUUAGUUCAUAAGAUGGGCAGGGGAAAAACUAAUUCCCAUAAUUCUACUGGGAUCUAUAGCUUUCCAAUGCAACUGAGUGAGAUAAGUGGUUGGAAAAUUACCAGAAAUGAAAAGUAGUUAUGACCCAAAAGCACCAUUAUAAUUAUCCAUUGCCAUCCAGUGUUCUUGAUGAAGCAUGUCAACGACAGGUAUUCAGACCUGCUGUCUGAAACAGACGCUCAGCUGUUGUGAGCUUUGCCAGAAAGAUUUCAGUUCGGUGACAUCAUUGGCAAGUGAAUCCAAUUCUGCUGUGAAAAACCUGUCACUGCUGCUGCCUCUUUUACCAAUGAGCAUGACAGUGUUGCUAGGCAACAACAAGAGCCAACACCAGCGACGCCCUGUCUGGUGCUGUUAGCUUGAAAACUGAUCCCUCGAGGAAGAAUACAUCUUGAGCUGUUGAUCCUGUCGAUUCAGAGAGGCUGCCCCGCUGCGAUGCACCCGUGGAGACGGCUCAGUUAGCUGGCGAUGGAGGAGCCAAUACAAGAGCCUAUUGGAUGAAACACAACUGCACUUUGUUUGAAUUGGUCCUUUGUGAGAUUCUGCAGCAUGCUUUGAAUAAAAAGCAGGUUGUAUGUAAUUUAGUUCUGAUUAUAAAGGAAACAAAUAAUGAGAUAACAGGCUUAAUGAGGAAAUUAGGAUGUCUUUGAAAGAGACAACAUCAUAAAAGAUCCAGAAUACAAAAUCUAUGGACCUUUUUAAUGCACCAUUUUAAAGUAAGGAGGCGUCACUGUCCUAACUUUAAACCUUCUGACAUUGUAACUCCAGGCUUGCAACAAGUUCUGGAGAAGAUGAUAAUUUGGUUUAAUUUCAGUGUCAAAAUGAUCUACAAUAAAAAAUGAGAUUUUGUUGUAAUCCCCCUGCUGUCACGUCAAUCAGAUAGAACAGCAAAGUGCAUUC
This is a long non-coding RNA of Gasterosteus aculeatus aculeatus (three-spined stickleback), 1054 nucleotides long. The record is from Ensembl. NCBI's taxonomy places the organism in Eukaryota, Metazoa, Chordata, Actinopteri, Perciformes, Gasterosteidae.